UUAAGGGAGUAACCCGCAAGAGAUGCUGGCGCCCACUCUCAAGAGAGCCCUCCUUCCAACGCAACUCAGUUACCUGUAAAACGAGUAACAGGUUCUUAAUGAAAUAACAUAUGUUUCAGGAGCAGAAAUAAUGGAAGAUUACCCAUCUGGAUGGCACAAGGUAUAUGAAAUACUUGGGGUGCAGUCAGGAACUUUAAGAACAAGACCUUGUAUGUGCUAAUUGCUAGGCUCUAAGCAAAAGAAAAGCAGGUUCAAAUGAAAAUUGUGGAUUUCUCAUAGCGUGGAAUGUGGAACUACUUCCUCCGUUUCA
Molecule: long non-coding RNA, 310 nt
Organism: Oryza sativa Japonica Group (Japanese rice)
Lineage: Eukaryota; Viridiplantae; Streptophyta; Magnoliopsida; Poales; Poaceae
Source: RefSeq, a predicted model, not a curated record